Molecule: long non-coding RNA, 692 nt
Organism: Papilio polytes (common Mormon)
Lineage: Eukaryota; Metazoa; Arthropoda; Insecta; Lepidoptera; Papilionidae
Exons: 3
Source: RefSeq, a predicted model, not a curated record
UAUUGUAUGUUUUCUAUAUUUCACUCCCUUUUGAUACUGAUCUUUUUCAACGAGCUUCCUGGUUCUUUUAUUUUCAAUGCAUGUGAACUAUUAUAGCUAAUGGUAUGGCGUAUUUCUCGAUUUAACAUACAACAUUAUUCUUUUGAUAAUGAAUGUUUUCGAUAUUAGAGCUUACUACAAAACGCUUGAUAAACUGGAUAUGUGAUUGCGGUAAAGGUCUGGGGGCGUACCGCGCACGCCCGGUCUCCGGACAUGCGCAAUCAAUCUUAGAUUUCUCUUCCCAUAUAUUUUUAUUAUUAAUAGUGUUUAAUGCAGUUAUAUGUUAAAAUCUUUUAAUAGGACGUAACAAUAACUGAAAGUGCAGUAUAAAAUUAACAUUCAUUAAAUUAAGAUAUACAUCACGACCAUUUGUUCAUUGAUUUUGUGUAUCUUGUGAGGUUUUAUAGUGCUAUAACCUAAAAUAUCAUGCUGGUACAGCAUAAAAAUUGUUCCUAUGAUAAAAUAACAAUUAAAUGAGAUGCGCUACAUUAACCUGCAACGAGCGAUGGCCAGAUCACGCAGAGAUAAGAUCUGGCGUUGGCGGUGUCAGUGGUGCUUCAUCAGCGUGAUUGCUGUCGCGCUGGUACUAUACAACGCAGCGGCUAAUAUCUGGCUUCUCCAGCCCUCGUGUGCUCAGCUCGGGCCUACCUCUC